UUAUAGCUUAUAAGGAGUCGAACCUGCCCAGUGAUAAGAAAUUUAACGGCCGCAGUACUCUGACUGUGCAAAGGUAGCAUAAUCAUUUGCCUUAUAAUUGAAGGCUAGUAUGAAUGGUUUGACGAAAACAGUUCUGUCUCUUUUUAAUUUUAUAAAAUUUGGUUUUUAGGUGAAGAAACCUAAAUAUUAUUGAAAGACAAGAAGACCCUAUCGAGCUUUAAAAUAUUUUAUUGAUAACUAAACUAACAAAAAUUUAUUUCAAUGAAAAAUUUUGGUUGGGGCGACUGAGGAACAAAUAAAACUUCCUUGUUUUAUAAAAGUAGAUUGACUUUGAUCCAUAAGUUUUGAUUAACAAAAUUAGUUACCGUAGGGAUAACAGCAUAAUCUUUUUUGAGAGCUCUUAUCGAAAAAAAGGUUUGUGACCUCGAUGUUGGACUAGGAUACCCAAAAGAUGCAGAAGUCUUUAAUGGUUGGUCUGUUCGACCA
Molecule: ribosomal RNA, 486 nt
Filed under: Ascorhis tasmanica
Lineage: Eukaryota; Metazoa; Mollusca; Gastropoda; Littorinimorpha; Hydrobiidae
Description: partial 16S large subunit ribosomal RNA
Rfam family: Bacterial large subunit ribosomal RNA
Source: RNAcentral